Molecule: non-coding RNA, 83 nt
Organism: Amanita rubescens
Lineage: Eukaryota; Fungi; Basidiomycota; Agaricomycetes; Agaricales; Amanitaceae
Source: the annotation of a GenBank genome assembly
GGCGCUAUAGUGUAGUGGUUAUCACUCGGGAUUCUGACCGUGCUCAACUUCCCGAAACCCAGGUUCGAACCCUGGUAGCGCCU